GACGAACGCUGGCGGCGUGCUUAACACAUGCAAGUCGAACGAUGAAGAAGAGACACGCGCACUUCGGUUCAAAUUUCACUUCGGAUUAGUGGCAGACGGGUGAGUAACGCGUGAGCAACCUACCUCUUACAAAGGGAUAGCCUCGGGAAACCGUGAUUAAUACCAUAUGACACAUUCAUAAGGCAUCUUAAGAAUGUUAAAGCUACGGCGGUAAGAGAUGGGCUCGCGUCCCAUUAGCUAGUUGGUGAGGUAACGGCCCACCAAGGCGACGAUGGGUAACCGGCCUGAGAGGGUGAACGGUCACAUUGGAACUGAGACACGGUCCAAACUCCUACGGGAGGCAGCAGUGGGGAAUAUUGCACAAUGGAGGGAACUCUGAUGCAGCGACGCCGCGUGAGCGAUGAAGGAAUUCGUUUCGUAAAGCUCUGUUCUAUGGGAAGAAAAGGACGGUACCAUAGGAGAAAGCCCCGGCUAAAUACGUG
This 482-nucleotide ribosomal RNA is filed under the name uncultured bacterium. RNAcentral describes it as "partial 16S ribosomal RNA". It matches the Rfam family "Bacterial small subunit ribosomal RNA", at positions 28 to 507 of the family's 1533-position model. The record is from RNAcentral.